Molecule: non-coding RNA, 29 nt
Filed under: Mus musculus (house mouse)
Lineage: Eukaryota; Metazoa; Chordata; Mammalia; Rodentia; Muridae
Also listed under: 1 other name
Source: RNAcentral
UGGCAGGUCACAGAGCCAUUCAGAGGUGU